AGGCCUUCGGGUCGUAAAGCUCUGUUGUUAGGGAAGAACAAGUACCAGAGUAACUGCUGGUACCUUGACGGUACCUAACCAGAAAGCCACGGCUAACUACGUGCCAGCAGCCGCGGUAAUACGUAGGUGGCAAGCGUUGUCCGGAAUUAUUGGGCGUAAAGCGCGCGCAGGCGGUUCCUUAAGUCUGAUGUGAAAGCCCACGGCUCAACCGUGGAGGGUCAUUGGAAACUGGGGAACUUGAGUGCAGAAGAGGAAAGCGGAAUUCCACGUGUAGCGGUGAAAUGCGUAGAGAUGUGGAGGAACACCAGUGGCGAAGGCGGCUUUCUGGUCUGUAACUGACGCUGAGGCGCGAAAGCGUGGGGAGCAAACAGGAUUAGAUACCCUGGUAGUCCACGCCGUAAACGAUGAGUGCUAAGUGUUAGGGGGUUUCCGCCCCUUAGUGCUGCAGCUAACGCAUUAAGCACUCCGCCUGGGGAGUACGGCCGCAAGGCUGAAACUCAAAGGAAUUGACGGGGGCCCGCACAAGCGGUGGAACAUGUGGUUUAAUUCGAAGCAACGCGAAGAACCUUACCAGGUCUUGACAUCCUCUGACAACUCUAGAGAUAGAGCGUUCCCCUUCGGGGGACAGAGUGACAGGUGGUGCAUGGUUGUCGUCAGCUCGUGUCGUGAGAUGUUGGGUUAAGUCCCGCAACGAGCGCAACCCUUGAUCUUAGUUGCCAG
Molecule: ribosomal RNA, 720 nt
Filed under: uncultured bacterium
Lineage: Bacteria
Description: bacterial SSU rRNA
Rfam family: Bacterial small subunit ribosomal RNA
Source: RNAcentral